UACGUAGGGUGCAAGCGUUAAUCGGAAUUACUGGGCGUAAAGCGUGCGCAGGCGGUUUUGUAAGACAGGCGUGAAAUCCCCGGGCUUAACCUGGGAAUGGCGCUUGUGACUGCAAAGCUGGAGUGCGGCAGAGGGGGAUGGAAUUCCGCGUGUAGCAGUGAAAUGCGUAGAUAUGCGGAGGAACACCGAUGGCGAAGGCAAUCCCCUGGGCCUGUACUGACGCUCAUGCACGAAAGCGUGGGGAGCAAACAGG
This 253-nucleotide ribosomal RNA is filed under the name uncultured bacterium. RNAcentral describes it as "partial 16S ribosomal RNA". It matches the Rfam family "Bacterial small subunit ribosomal RNA", at positions 524 to 776 of the family's 1533-position model. The record is from RNAcentral.